AAACCAGGAUUAGAUACCCUAUUAUUUUAGGCUUAAAUUUUAAUUUACCUGAAUANUAAUAGUUAUUUUCUUUAAACUCUAAGAAUUUGGCGGUAAUAUAUUUUUUUAGAGGAACCUGUUUUUUAAUCGAUGAACCACGAUAUUUUCUACCUUUUAAUUUGUUUGUAUACCUCUAUUUAGAAUGUUUUUUUAGGAUAUUUUCUUUUACUUUAUCAAGCUUUAUUUUAGGUCAAGGUGCAGUUUUUUUAAGGUAAACAUGGGUUAUUUUUUUGAUAUAUAACUAUUUUUAGUUGUAUUGAAUUUGGAUUUAACAGUAAAUU
This 320-nucleotide ribosomal RNA is filed under the name Aphrodes hamiltoni. Its description in RNAcentral is "partial 12S ribosomal RNA". Lineage: Eukaryota; Metazoa; Arthropoda; Insecta; Hemiptera; Cicadellidae. The record is from RNAcentral.